GACGAACGCUGGCGGCGUGCUUAACACAUGCAAGUCGAACGGAAAGGCCUGCUUUCCCUUGUGGAUUGCGGGUACUCGAGUGGCGAACGGGUGAGUAACACGUGAGUGAUCUGCCCCCAACUUGGGUAUAAGCCUGGGAAACUGGGUCUAAUUCCCGAUAGGACUGCAGGGUGGUGCCUGUGGUGGAAAACGAUUUUCUAGUGGUUGGGGAUGAGCUCGCGGCCUAUCAGCUUGUUGGUGGGGUAAUGGCCUACCAAGGCGGCGACGGGUAGCCGGCCUGGGAGGGUGGACGGCCACAUUGGGACUGGGAUACGGCCCAGACUCCUACGGGAGGCAGCAGUGGGGAAUAUGGCACAAUGGGCGGAAGCCUGAGGCAGCGACGCCGCGGGGGGGAUGACGGCCUUCGGGUUGUAAACUCCUUUCGACCGCGAGGAAGCCACCUGGUUGGAAGGGUGGUGACGGUAGUGGGAGAAGAAGCACCGGCUAACUACGUG
This 494-nucleotide ribosomal RNA is filed under the name uncultured bacterium. RNAcentral describes it as "partial 16S ribosomal RNA". It matches the Rfam family "Bacterial small subunit ribosomal RNA", at positions 28 to 507 of the family's 1533-position model. The record is from RNAcentral.